RNAcentral lists this ribosomal RNA (508 nucleotides) under uncultured bacterium. RNAcentral describes it as "partial 16S ribosomal RNA". The stretch from base 18 to 367 matches the Rfam family "Bacterial small subunit ribosomal RNA", at positions 45 to 393 of the family's 1533-position model. The record is from RNAcentral.
GACGAACGCUGGCGGCGUGCUUAACACAUGCAAGUCGAACGGAAAGGCCCUGCUUUUGUGGGGUGCUCGAGUGGCGAACGGGUGAGUAACACGUGAGUAACCUGCCCUUGACUUUGGGAUAACUUCAGGAAACUGGGGCUAAUACCGGAUAGGAGCUCCUGCUGCAUGGUGGGGGUUGGAAAGUUUCGGCGGUUGGGGAUGGACUCGCGGCUUAUCAGCUUGUUGGUGGGGUAGUGGCUUACCAAGGCUUUGACGGGUAGCCGGCCUGAGAGGGUGACCGGCCACGGGCGGGCGGGCGGACGCGCCAGAGUGCUGCGGGGGGGAGAAGGGGGGAAGACUGCACGCGGGGCGGGUGCGUGAUGCGUCGGGGGGGCGGGAGGGAGGCCGGCCGCAGGGUGCAAGCCCGUUUCCGCGGUGCGGGAGGGGGGGGGGGUGGUAGGGGGAAAAGAACCACCUGCUAACUCGGGGCCACGACCGGGGGUAUACGCGGAAGACCCCCGGUCCGACC